UACGAAGGGGGCUAGCGUUGCUCGGAAUUACUGGGCGUAAAGCGCACGUAGGCGGCUUGUUAAGUCAGGGGUGAAAUCCUGGAGCUCAACUCCAGAACUGCCUUUGAUACUGGCGAGCUUGAGUUCGGGAGAGGUGAGUGGAACUGCGAGUGUAGAGGUGAAAUUCGUAGAUAUUCGCAAGAACACCAGUGGCGAAGGCGGCUCACUGGCCCGAUACUGACGCUGAGGUGCGAAAGCGUGGGGAGCGAACAGG
RNAcentral lists this ribosomal RNA (253 nucleotides) under uncultured bacterium. RNAcentral's name for it is "partial 16S ribosomal RNA". It matches the Rfam family "Bacterial small subunit ribosomal RNA", at positions 524 to 776 of the family's 1533-position model. The record is from RNAcentral.